Non-coding RNA from Caretta caretta (loggerhead turtle), 199 nucleotides. The record is from RefSeq and is a predicted model, not a curated record. NCBI's taxonomy places the organism in Eukaryota, Metazoa, Chordata, Testudines, Cheloniidae.
CGGCAACGUGGGCGACGGCAGCUUUGACGACAACAGCAAAAACAACCAGUUCUGGUCAGUGGACUCCGGAAGCGUAAACACCGGCAACGUGGGCGACGGCAGCUUUGAUGACAACAGCAAAAACAACCAGUUCUGGUCAGUGGACUCCGGAAGUGUAAAGACCGGCAACGUGGGAGACGGCAGCUUUGACGACAACAGC